AAUAUCAUCACACAGAUAAAAACAUAAAUACUUAUGCCAAAAUUUAAUUUGAAAAACGUCGAUGCUACACAAAACACAUUUCUUUACAUGAUCUUAAUUAUUACAUCACUUUUGCAUAAUUAAAACCUACUACAUCACUACAAGAUGUACAUCAGAAAAAUAAUAUUCUACAGGAAUGUUGCACACGUCGAACCUGUUUUUCCAAAAUUAAAUUUUGUUGAAAAAACACCGAAAUAAU
Molecule: long non-coding RNA, 238 nt
Filed under: Ananas comosus (pineapple)
Lineage: Eukaryota; Viridiplantae; Streptophyta; Magnoliopsida; Poales; Bromeliaceae
Description: long non-coding RNA (ACOM_LNC040554)
Source: RNAcentral